Molecule: ribosomal RNA, 542 nt
Filed under: Bifidobacterium breve
Lineage: Bacteria; Bacillati; Actinomycetota; Actinomycetes; Bifidobacteriales; Bifidobacteriaceae
Description: bacterial SSU rRNA
Rfam family: Bacterial small subunit ribosomal RNA
Source: RNAcentral
UCUCCUGGAAACGGGUGGUAAUGCCGGAUGCUCCAUCACACCGCAUGGUGUGUUGGGAAAGCCUUUGCGGCAUGGGAUGGGGUCGCGUCCUAUCAGCUUGAUGGCGGGGUAACGGCCCACCAUGGCUUCGACGGGUAGCCGGCCUGAGAGGGCGACCGGCCACAUUGGGACUGAGAUACGGCCCAGACUCCUACGGGAGGCAGCAGUGGGGAAUAUUGCACAAUGGGCGCAAGCCUGAUGCAGCGACGCCGCGUGAGGGAUGGAGGCCUUCGGGUUGUAAACCUCUUUUGUUAGGGAGCAAGGCAUUUUGUGUUGAGUGUACCUUUCGAAUAAGCACCGGCUAACUACGUGCCAGCAGCCGCGGUAAUACGUAGGGUGCAAGCGUUAUCCGGAAUUAUUGGGCGUAAAGGGCUCGUAGGCGGUUCGUCGCGUCCGGUGUGAAAGUCCAUCGCUUAACGGUGGAUCCGCGCCGGGUACGGGCGGGCUUGAGUGCGGUAGGGGAGACUGGAAUUCCCGGUGUAACGGUGGAAUGUGUAGAUAUC